This 631-nucleotide ribosomal RNA is filed under the name Brachybacterium sp. 11427. RNAcentral describes it as "bacterial SSU rRNA". It matches the Rfam family "Bacterial small subunit ribosomal RNA", at positions 56 to 700 of the family's 1533-position model. The record is from RNAcentral. Lineage: Bacteria; Bacillati; Actinomycetota; Actinomycetes; Micrococcales; Dermabacteraceae.
UGCAGUCGACGAUGACGGCCGUGCUUGCACGGUCUGAUUAGUGGCGAACGGGUGAGUAACACGUGAGUAACCUGCCCUCCACUUCGGGAUAACCUCGGGAAAUCGUGGCUAAUACCGGAUAUGAGCACUCAUCGCAUGGUGGGUGUUGGAAAGAUUUAUCGGUGGGGGAUGGACUCGCGGCCUAUCAGUUUGUUGGUGAGGUGAUGGCUCACCAAGACGAUGACGGGUAGCCGGCCUGAGAGGGCGACCGGCCACACUGGGACUGAGACACGGCCCAGACUCCUACGGGAGGCAGCAGUGGGGAAUAUUGCACAAUGGGCGAAAGCCUGAUGCAGCGACGCCGCGUGAGGGAUGACGGCCUUCGGGUUGUAAACCUCUUUCAGUAGGGAAGAAGCGAGAGUGACGGUACCUGCAGAAGAAGCGCCGGCUAACUACGUGCCAGCAGCCGCGGUAAUACGUAGGGCGCAAGCGUUGUCCGGAAUUAUUGGGCGUAAAGAGCUUGUAGGUGGCUUGUCGCGUCUGCCGUGAAAACCCGAGGCUCAACCUCGGGCGUGCGGUGGGUACGGGCAGGCUAGAGUGUGGUAGGGGAGACCGGAACUCCUGGUGUAGCGGUGAAAUGCGCAGAUAUCAG